Lagenorhynchus albirostris (white-beaked dolphin) is the source of this 1442-nucleotide RNA transcript. It is a transcript of the gene named glutaredoxin and cysteine rich domain containing 1, with no coding region annotated. The record is from RefSeq and is a predicted model, not a curated record. NCBI's taxonomy places the organism in Eukaryota, Metazoa, Chordata, Mammalia, Artiodactyla, Delphinidae. The transcript is spliced from 5 exons.
GGUUGGGUCUGAGUGGGCUGGAAAGCGGCGAAAGGGCCUGGGGCGUCAAGGGCUAGGAGCUGUGGAAGGGCACUGCGUGUUGGCCACCCCCGAUGCAAUUCUAGCCUCCAUGCGCCGCCAACAGCCCUCGCGACCUGAGUCGCACCUGCUCACUCGCCUGGUCCACGAGCAACAGGUUCUGAGGCCGGGGUCCUCGGAAGCUGGUGGCUCCUCCUGCCCAUGGUGCUCAUGUGCGUCUGGGGCCGGCUUGCGAGUGGCCGGGUGCAUCCAGCUAGUGCGUGUUCUGCAGACUGACAAACCUCUGGACUUGCAGUAAAGUCAACUGUUGGGCCAGGUCCAGGAUCUCCUUGUAUAAAGCAGACUCCCUCUGGCUUGAUGAACAUGCAUCUGAAAAAAAUUAAAAGGGCUCAAGACACAGAUGGGAAUGGUGAGGAUCUCCAGCUAAAGAAAAAAAUGCAAGUAACCAUGGGAUGGUGAAGGAGCCUACUCAAGGUAGUUGCUUCUUUCUUUUUCUUAUGAAGCAUGCAGAAAGAAGAAGCAUCUGUUCUGAGAGCAAAGAAGAUGAAAACAUAAAUUAAAAAUUCAGUCCCAGUGAGCCGCCUUCUGUAUCUGAGUCAGAGAGAAGAGAGCCAGUUACACAAAAAAUCAUCUGUGGGGAAGCAUAAGGAGUUUGGAAUCAGCCACAUCUGCCUUUGAAUCCUCUCUGCCAUUUACUAGGUGCAUGAUCUUGUGUUUUCAUAGAAGGCUCCUGUUCCAUUAUACCAAGACAUCUAAACUUCUCCCUAAAGAUCUUCAAAGAAGUGAAUAGAAAUUUCUCUAAUGGUGUUCCAGAUCCAUCAGAUAAUUCCAUUUGAGAUUUCUGAGGAGAUUCUAUGCCAGUAAUUUUCAUUCUUCUAAUUUUUUAGGAUACGGUUUUUUAAAACUUCUAAUUAGACAGAAUUCAUUACAUUAGACCAUGUCAUUUAUAAUAUUUAUAUGAUUCCAAACAGUCACAUAUUCAAUAAAAAUGAGUCAUCAAAUUAUGUGAUCAAUUUGUCUUUAUUUACUUUGCUAAAACUUAAAUUUAUAAAACCUGCAUGCUGAUAGCAUCUUACAUUUGAUGAAAUUCAGUGUUCUGUGGUUUCCACUUGUGCACAUUCAACAAGAUUGGGUCCUAUUACUAGAAGGACCCUAUUGUGUUUUAUGUGAUGAUCCUGCAGCUUGGAACUUCACAGUAAGUGAGGUAUUGAUUUGAGCUCAAUACCUGCUGAACAUAGUUCCUCAAAGUGCCAAAAAAAAGUACCUGCUAAAUGAAAGAAUCUUUCAACCCUGGAGUGGGGAGAAUGAUUUUUAAUAAAUGUGAGUGGUUUUUGCAUGUUGCAGGGAAUUUUGAAAAUAUCAUUUAUCCUAAAUAUACAAUCCAAUGUGAUUUAUUUGUUUUGCGUGUGGAAAUGUCACCUGCC